Molecule: ribosomal RNA, 253 nt
Filed under: uncultured bacterium
Lineage: Bacteria
Description: partial 16S ribosomal RNA
Rfam family: Bacterial small subunit ribosomal RNA
Source: RNAcentral
GACGAACCGUGCGAACGUUGUUCGGAAUCACUGGGCUUAAAGGGCGCGUAGGCGGGUCAGCAAGUCCGGGGUGAAAUCUUUCGGCUCAACCGGAAAAGUGCCUCGGAUACUGCUGGUCUUGAGGGAGGUAGGGGUUUGUGGAACUUCUGGUGGAGCGGUGAAAUGCGUUGAUAUCAGGAGGAACACCGGUGGCGAAGGCGGGUCUCUGGGCCGAUACUGACGCUGAGGAGCGAAAGCGUGGGGAGCGAACAGG